RNAcentral lists this ribosomal RNA (468 nucleotides) under uncultured bacterium. Its description in RNAcentral is "partial 16S ribosomal RNA". It matches the Rfam family "Bacterial small subunit ribosomal RNA", at positions 28 to 507 of the family's 1533-position model. The record is from RNAcentral.
GACGAACGCUGGCGGCGUGCUUAACACAUGCAAGUCGAACGGAAAGGCCCUGCUUUUGUGGGGUGCUCGAGUGGCGAACGGGUGAGUAACACGUGAGUAACCUGCCCUUGACUUUGGGAUAACUUCAGGAAACUGGGGCUAAUACCGGAUAGGAGCUCCUGCUGCAUGGUGGGGGUUGGAAAGUUUCGGCGGUUGGGGAUGGACUCGCGGCUUAUCAGCUUGUUGGUGGGGUAGUGGCUUACCAAGGCUUUGACGGGUAGCCGGCCUGAGAGGGUGACCGGCGACAUUGGGACUAAGAGACGGCGCAGACUCCUACGGGAGGCAGCGGUGGGGAAUAUUGCGCAGUGGGCGGACGCCUGAUGCAGCAACGCCGCGUGCGGGAUGACGGCCUUCUGGUUGUAAACCGCUUUCGCCUGUGACGAAGCGUGAGUGACGGUAAUGGGUCAAGAAGCACCGGCUAACUACGUG